UAAUACGGAGGGUGCAAGCGUUAUCCGGAUUCACUGGGUUUAAAGGGUGCGUAGGCGGGCAGGUAAGUCAGUGGUGAAAUCUUCGAGCUUAACUCGGAAACUGCCGUUGAUACUAUCGGUCUUGAAUAUCGUUGAGGUAAGCGGAAUAUGUCAUGUAGCGGUGAAAUGCUUAGAUAUGACAUAGAACACCAAUUGCGAAGGCAGCUUGCUAAACGAUCAUUGACGCUGAUGCACGAAAGCGUGGGGAUCAAACAGGAUUAGAUACCCUGGUAGUCCACGCCCUAAACGAUGAUUACUCGACAUACGCGAUACAUUGUGUGUGUCUGAGCGAAAGCAUUAAGUAAUCCACCUGGGAAGUACGACCGCAAGGUUGAAACUCAAAGGAAUUGACGG
RNAcentral lists this ribosomal RNA (393 nucleotides) under uncultured bacterium. Its description in RNAcentral is "bacterial SSU rRNA". It matches the Rfam family "Bacterial small subunit ribosomal RNA", at positions 521 to 916 of the family's 1533-position model. The record is from RNAcentral.